UACGUAGGGUGCAAGCGUUAUCCGGAAUUAUUGGGCGUAAAGAGCUCGUAGGUGGUUUGUCGCGUUGUUCGUGAAAACUCACAGCUCAACUGUGGGCGUGCGGGCGAUACGGGCAGACUAGAGUACUGCAGGGGAGACUGGAAUUCCUGGUGUAGCGGUGGAAUGCGCAGAUAUCAGGAGGAACACCGGUGGCGAAGGCGGGUCUCUGGGCAGUAACUGACGCUGAGGAGCGAAAGCGUGGGGAGCGAACAGG
Molecule: ribosomal RNA, 253 nt
Filed under: uncultured bacterium
Lineage: Bacteria
Description: partial 16S ribosomal RNA
Rfam family: Bacterial small subunit ribosomal RNA
Source: RNAcentral